CAGUAGCGUAUAUUUAAGUUGUUGCAGUUAAAAAGCUCGUAGUUGGAUUUCGGUUAAGAGCGACCGGUCCGCCGUUUGGUGUGCACUGGUUGGUUUUAACUUCCUGUAGAGGACGUGCUCUGGGUUUAACGACCUGGACUCGGAGUCUACGUGGUUACUUUGAAAAAAUUAGAGUGUUCAAAGCGGGCUUACGCUUGAAUAUUUCAGCAUGGAAUAACACUAUAGGACUCCUGUCCUAUUUCGUUGGUCUCGGGACGGGAGUAAUGAUUAAGAGGAACAGUUGGGGGCAUUCGUAUUUCAUUGUCAGAGGUGAAAUUCUUGGAUUUAUGAAAGACGAACUUCUGCGAAAGCAUUUGCCAAGGAUGUUUUCAUUAA
This 375-nucleotide ribosomal RNA is filed under the name uncultured eukaryote. RNAcentral describes it as "partial 18S ribosomal RNA". It matches the Rfam family "Eukaryotic small subunit ribosomal RNA", at positions 592 to 976 of the family's 1831-position model. The record is from RNAcentral.